This 253-nucleotide ribosomal RNA is filed under the name uncultured bacterium. RNAcentral describes it as "partial 16S ribosomal RNA". It matches the Rfam family "Bacterial small subunit ribosomal RNA", at positions 524 to 776 of the family's 1533-position model. The record is from RNAcentral.
UACAGAGGGUGCAAGCGUUAAUCGGAAUUACUGGGCGUAAAGCGCGCGUAGGUGGUUGGUUAAGUUGGAUGUGAAAGCCCCGGGCUCAACCUGGGAACUGCAUCCAAAACUGGCCGGCUAGAGUACGGUAGAGGGUGGUGGAAUUUCCUGUGUAGCGGUGAAAUGCGUAGAUAUAGGAAGGAACACCAGUGGCGAAGGCGACCACCUGGACUGAUACUGACACUGAGGUGCGAAAGCGUGGGGAGCAAACAGG